This 489-nucleotide small RNA is filed under the name Malus domestica (apple). RNAcentral's name for it is "sRNA MD05G0227500". The record is from RNAcentral. Lineage: Eukaryota; Viridiplantae; Streptophyta; Magnoliopsida; Rosales; Rosaceae.
AUGCAGCGGCCGUGGCAGCGCUUUCGCAGCUCUCGCAGCUUACUGGGAACAUCGAGGCGGCCUAGCGGACUGCUCAACCCCCGACAAGAAUUAGAGCCGGCUAAGACAACUUCAACCCGGACUGGAAUAUUAGAGCGUACAAAUUAGUCCCGAGAAGGGAGAUGUUGGCAUGAUUGCCAUGGUACCUGGGAUUCUUAUCCAACUGGUCUCCUUCGUGGGAUUGUUUGUAUUUUUAGCUGCGGUAGCAGCAGCGCAAGCUUUGCCUGGCUGCCCAAACAAAUGCGGGAAUUUGUCAAUCCCAUACCCUUUUGGGAUAUCCGAUGGCUGCCAGCUCAGUGAUGAAUUCCUCAUCGUUUGCAACGAAACCUCACAACCCCCCACAGCAUUUUUGACAGGAACUGCAAUCCCGGUCUCCAACAUAUCCCUUGACGGCGAGCUACAAAUAAUGCAGUUUGUAGCAAGAGAUUGUUACGUCGAGGGGGUUUAUCA